This 628-nucleotide long non-coding RNA is filed under the name Rhinopithecus bieti (black snub-nosed monkey). RNAcentral's name for it is "lncRNA (ENSRBIG00000045080.1)". The record is from RNAcentral. Lineage: Eukaryota; Metazoa; Chordata; Mammalia; Primates; Cercopithecidae.
UAGACUCAGAGUGGUGGAUCUUUUGCACCCCCAGCAGGAAACCCUCAGCAGGGCCAACAGUCCUGACCUCUGCCAGCCCUUCCAGCAAUCCACAGAACAUCUCAUCCAUUCUUCCUUCUCAUCCACCAAGAAGGCCACAGCACCCUCCUCAUGCAGUGUGGUGAAAGGUGUCGUACAGUGUGCAGAGUGAAUCGUGAUAGCCCCAGCCCAGUGGACCCAGCCCUGUCCUACACCAGUGGGGCCCAGCUCAUAGCCAUUCCUGGCUUUCAGUCAACCUGGGCUCCUGCUCUGGACAUCGACAUUGAGUACCUGUGCUAACAAAUGUGCAGGAGCCCAGGACAGACACGCAGAAAGACAGACACAUGAAGCUGAGUGGAUUUUUAAAUUAGCAGCCAUAGAAGGCAUCAUGCACUCUCUGGAUCCAAGAGAGGUGGUUUCUGCCAAGCACACUUGGGCCCAGGGACCUGAGCUGCUGGCCCCUUUCCUGUCAUGCAGAGGAGCAAGUAGAGCCCUGCACCCCACUGGCUUUCCUCCAGCCCUCACCUCGCCUACAGACAGUUUUCUGGGCUUUCGACAAGAAGGAGCUGCCUUCUGCUUAUGAGCUGCAAGCUCCCUGUGGAGAAUGUCA